This 501-nucleotide ribosomal RNA is filed under the name uncultured bacterium. RNAcentral describes it as "partial 16S ribosomal RNA". It matches the Rfam family "Bacterial small subunit ribosomal RNA", at positions 30 to 523 of the family's 1533-position model. The record is from RNAcentral.
AUUGAACGCUGGCGGCAGGCUUAACACAUGCAAGUCGAGCGGGGGAAGGUAGCUUGCUACCGGACCUAGCGGCGGACGGGUGAGUAAUGCUUAGGAAUCUGCCUAUUAGUGGGGGACAACAUCUCGAAAGGGAUGCUAAUACCGCAUACGUCCUACGGGAGAAAGCAGGGGAUCUUCGGACCUUGCGCUAAUAGAUGAGCCUAAGUCGGAUUAGCUAGUUGGUGGGGUAAAGGCCUACCAAGGCGACGAUCUGUAGCGGGUCUGAGAGGAUGAUCCGCCACACUGGGACUGAGACACGGCCCAGACUUCUACGGGAGGCAGCAGUGGGGAAUAUUGGACAAUGGGGGGAACCCUGACCCAGCCAUGCCGCGUGUGUGAAGAAGGCCUUAUGGUUGUAAAGCACUUUAAGCGAGGAGGAGGCUACUUUAGUUAAUACCUAGAGAUAGUGGACGUUACUCGCAGAAUAAGCACCGGCUAACUCUGUGCCAGCAGCCGCAGUAA